Molecule: transfer RNA, 99 nt
Filed under: Trichosporon asahii var. asahii CBS 2479
Lineage: Eukaryota; Fungi; Basidiomycota; Tremellomycetes; Trichosporonales; Trichosporonaceae
Also listed under: 1 other name
Description: tRNA-Pro
Rfam family: tRNA
About the family: Transfer RNA (tRNA) molecules are approximately 80 nucleotides in length.
Source: RNAcentral
GCAUCAAUGGUGUAGUCGCUAUCAUACUUCCUUCGGGUUCCUUUGAUCCGGAUGAAUCAUCCUUGGAAGUGGUCCCGGGUUCAAAUCCCGGUUGGUGCC